GGUGACGAGUGGCGGACGGGUGAGUAAUGUCUGGGAAACUGCCCGAUGGAGGGGGAUAACUACUGGAAACGGUAGCUAAUACCGCAUAACGUCUUCGGACCAAAGUGGGGGACCUUCGGGCCUCACACCAUCGGAUGUGCCCAGAUGGGAUUAGCUAGUAGGUGGGGUAACGGCUCACCUAGGCGACGAUCCCUAGCUGGUCUGAGAGGAUGACCAGCCACACUGGAACUGAGACACGGUCCAGACUCCUACGGGAGGCAGCAGUGGGGAAUAUUGCACAAUGGGCGCAAGCCUGAUGCAGCCAUGCCGCGUGUAUGAAGAAGGCCUUCGGGUUGUAAAGUACUUUCAGUGGGGAGGAAGGCGAUGAAGUUAAUAGCUUCGUCGAUUGACGUUACCCGCAGAAGAAGCACCGGCUAACUCCGUGCCAGCAGCCGCGGUAAUACGGAGGGUGCAAGCGUUAAUCGGAAUUACUGGGCGUAAAGCGCACGCAGGCGGUCUGUCAAGUCGGAUGUGAAAUCCCCGGGCUCAACCUGGGAACUGCAUUCGAAACUGGCAGGCUAGAGUCUUGUAGAGGGGGGUAGAAUUCCAGGUGUAGCGGUGAAAUGCGUAGAGAUCUGGAGGAAUACCGGUGGCGAAGGCGGCCCCCUGGACAAAGACUGACG
RNAcentral lists this ribosomal RNA (662 nucleotides) under Erwinia sp. B52. RNAcentral describes it as "bacterial SSU rRNA". It matches the Rfam family "Bacterial small subunit ribosomal RNA", at positions 87 to 745 of the family's 1533-position model. RNAcentral also lists the same sequence under 1 other name. Lineage: Bacteria; Pseudomonadati; Pseudomonadota; Gammaproteobacteria; Enterobacterales; Erwiniaceae. The record is from RNAcentral.